GGGGGGGGCAAGCGUUGUUCGGAAUUACUGGGCGUAAAGGGCUCGUAGGUGGCCAACUAAGUCGGAUGUGAAAUCCCCAGGCUCAACUUGGGAACUGCAUCCGAUACUGGAUGGCUUGAAUCCGGGAGAGGGAUGCAGAAUUCCAGGUGUAGCGGUGAAAUGCGUAGAUAUCUGGAGGAAUACCGGUGGCGAAGGCGGCAUCCUGGACCGGCAUUGACACUGAGGAGCGAAAGCCAGGGGAGCAAACGGGAUUAGAUACCCCGGUAGUCCUGGCCCUAAACGAUGAAUGUUUGGUGUGACGGGUAUCGAUCCCUGUCGUGCCGAAGCUAACGCAUUAAACAUUCCGCCUGGGGAGUACGGUCGCAAGGCUGAA
This 373-nucleotide ribosomal RNA is filed under the name uncultured bacterium. RNAcentral's name for it is "bacterial SSU rRNA". It matches the Rfam family "Bacterial small subunit ribosomal RNA", at positions 527 to 898 of the family's 1533-position model. The record is from RNAcentral.